This 29-nucleotide non-coding RNA is filed under the name Rattus norvegicus (Norway rat). The record is from RNAcentral. Lineage: Eukaryota; Metazoa; Chordata; Mammalia; Rodentia; Muridae.
UGCCACAAAGAAUCUAAGGGAACAGAUCA